UACGGGGGGGGCAAGCGUUGUUCGGAAUUACUGGGCGUAAAGGGCUCGUAGGCGGCCAACUAAGUCAGACGUGAAAUCCCUCGGCUUAACCGGGGAACUGCGUCUGAUACUGGAUGGCUUGAGUUCGGGAGAGGGAUGCGGAAUUCCAGGUGUAGCGGUGAAAUGCGUAGAUAUCUGGAGGAACACCGGUGGCGAAGGCGGCAUUCUGGACCGACAUUGACGCUGAGGAGCGAAAGCCAGGGGAGCAAACGGG
RNAcentral lists this ribosomal RNA (253 nucleotides) under uncultured bacterium. Its description in RNAcentral is "partial 16S ribosomal RNA". It matches the Rfam family "Bacterial small subunit ribosomal RNA", at positions 524 to 776 of the family's 1533-position model. The record is from RNAcentral.